GACGAACGCUGGCGGCGUGCUUAACACAUGCAAGUCGAACGGAAAGGCCCUUCGGGGUACUCGAGUGGCGAACGGGUGAGUAACACGUGGGUGAUCUGCCCUGCACUUUGGGAUAAGCCUGGGAAACUGGGUCUAAUACCGAAUAUGACCACGCUCUUCAUGGGAUGUGGUGGAAAGCUUUUGCGGUGUGGGAUGGGCCCGCGGCCUAUCAGCUUGUUGGUGGGGUAAUGGCCUACCAAGGCGACGACGGGUAGCCGGCCUGAGAGGGUGACCGGCCACACUGGGACUGAGAUACGGCCCAGACUCCUACGGGAGGCAGCAGUGGGGAAUAUUGCACAAUGGGCGCAAGCCUGAUGCAGCGACGCCGCGUGAGGGAUGACGGCCUUCGGGUUGUAAACCUCUUUCACCAGGGACGAAGCGCAAGUGACGGUACCUGGAGAAGAAGCACCGGCCAACUACGUGCCAGCAGCCGCCGUAA
This 478-nucleotide ribosomal RNA is filed under the name uncultured bacterium. Its description in RNAcentral is "partial 16S ribosomal RNA". It matches the Rfam family "Bacterial small subunit ribosomal RNA", at positions 28 to 523 of the family's 1533-position model. The record is from RNAcentral.